GACGAACGCUGGCGGCGUGCUUAAUACAUGCAAGUCGAACGGACAGGCCCUGCUUUUGUGGGGUGCUCGAUUGGCGAACGGGUGAGUAACACGUGAGUAACCUGCCCUUGACUUUGUGAUAACUUCAGGAAACUGGGGCUCAUACCGGAUAGGAGCUCCUGCUGCAUGUUGGGGGUUGGAAAGUUUCGGCGGUUGGGGAUGGACUCGCGGCUUAUCAGCUUGUUGGUGGGGUAGUGGCUUACCAAGGCUUUGACGGGUAGCCGGCCUGAGAGGGUGACCGGCCACAUUGGGACUGAGAUACGGCCCAGACUCCUACGGGAGGCAGCAGUGGGGAAUAUUGCACAAUGGGCGGAAGCCUGAUGCAGCAACGCCGCGUGCGGGAUGACGGCCUUCGGGUUGUAAACCGCUUUCGCCUGUGACGAAGCGUGAGUGACGGUAAUGGGUAAAGAAGCACCGGCUAACUACGUG
RNAcentral lists this ribosomal RNA (468 nucleotides) under uncultured bacterium. RNAcentral describes it as "partial 16S ribosomal RNA". It matches the Rfam family "Bacterial small subunit ribosomal RNA", at positions 28 to 507 of the family's 1533-position model. The record is from RNAcentral.